This is a non-coding RNA of Callithrix jacchus (white-tufted-ear marmoset), 4952 nucleotides long. NCBI's taxonomy places the organism in Eukaryota, Metazoa, Chordata, Mammalia, Primates, Cebidae. The record is from RefSeq and is a predicted model, not a curated record.
GUUUCAAGAGUUCUUUGUAUAUUUUGGGUGUAAGUUCUUUUUCAGAAAAAUGUUUUGCAAAUAUUUUCUCCCAGCCCAUGACUUGUUUCUUUAUUAUCUUAAUAGUGUCUUUUGCAUAGCAGAAGUUUACAUUGUGUUUUCUUUUAUGAAUUGUGAUUUAGGUGUUGUAUCUAAAGUCUCAUUGUCAAACCCAAGUUUUUAUUUUUUUUCCUAUAUUUUCUUUUAGGCUGCUUAUUUGUGUCAAAUGGAUUUAGAUUAGCCAGGCCAGAGUAAGGUGUCCCAUUCUUACUGAUAUGAUUUUAAAGAGCAAGUUUUCUGAUAGUCUAUGAUUUAAAAAAAAAAAAAAAAGUUUUUCUCAGUAAAAGUGCAGCUGUGAGAGGUUGUUCGGACUCAACAACCCAGCUGCAGCCUGACCUUGGGAGAAUAGUUGUUUCCUGUUAACUUUGCAACUGGUUUAAUCUGUGACUGUGUCUUUUGUGUAUCUGUUUUAAUUUGCACAAUGAAUGGACAAUCUAAUGUUUUACUUUGUCAGAUGGAGCAGAUAUUUUGCUUCUUCACCACCAACUCACUACACAAUGCAGGGUUCUUAACCUGCAUCGACUUGAUCAUAAACUCAGGAAAAGACAGAUACUGGUCAGUAUUUCCUUCCAAAAGCGGAGAUGAUAAAGUAAUAUAGAAAUCCUAAGGUCCAGACCUAUGUUCAGCCAGGUUCUGCUCCUUCUCCACACACCUUUGUUUUUUCUCCAGCUUCCAAGGAAUCUCACAAAGGGAGUGGGGAAACAGUGAACCCAUUACUUCUUUCCUGCUUUAAAUCCAAUUCUCGGAGACUGUUAGGCAGAAUCUCCGCUUGGUGGAAAGUGGGGCUUGCAGCCUAAAGUGAUUAGUUUGGAGGCCUUCUCUGUGCCUUCGCUGUGGGAAUGCCAGCUGCCUGUCGGCUGGAUGCGGGCCGAGUCGCCGGCCACACGGAGAGCCUUCACAACCUCAGCUGGCACCGGGGCUUGGGUCCUGGCCCUGCCCCCUGAGGACCCGGCCCCCUCUCAGUCCCACCCCGCCCUGGGAUCCGCUCCUGACCCCGCUGCGCGUGGCUCCAGGAACCUGGCUGGCAGAGGCUAUUCGUUGCCCCGCCAGGCCGGGUGAGGGCGGAGCCGGGCAUCCAGCCGCGAGGACUGGAGCAGCGGGAGGUGGAGCCCCGGUCCGGAAGCCGGGGAUCCGCGGCCAUGACUGUGCCGGCCCGUGGCUUCUUGCUGCUCCGCGGCCGCCUGGGCCGAGUGCCGGCGCUGGGCAGGAGCACAGCACCCCCCGUGAGAGCACCGGGAGGGCCCAGGAGCGCGUUCCGGGGCUUUCGGAGCAGCGGUGUGAGACAUGAAGCCGUUAUUAUAUCAGGAACCGAAAUGGCUAAGCAUAUCCAGAAAGAAAUAAAGCAAGGUGUGGAAUCAUGGAUUUCCCUUGGAAACAGAAGACCUCACCUCAGUAUAAUUUUAGUGGGAGAUAAUCCAGCAAGCCAUACAUACGUCAGGAAUAAGAUAAGAGCUGCCUCUGCUGUAGGUAUUUGUAGUGAGCUCAUUCUAAAACCUAAGGAUGUUUCUCAGGAAGAACUUUUGGACAUAACAGAUCAAUUGAAUAUGGACCCAAGAGUCAGUGGUAUAUUAGUUCAGUUACCACUGCCAGACCAUGUUGAUGAACGAAUGAUAUGCAAUGGAAUUGCCCCAGAAAAAGAUGUUGAUGGAUUUCAUAUUAUCAAUAUUGGAAGAUUGUGCCUUGACCAGCAUUCUCUCAUACCUGCCACUGCCAGUGCUGUUUGGGAAAUAAUAACAAGAACAGGAAUUCAAACAUUUGGAAAAAAUGUGGUUGUGGCUGGAAGAUCCAAGAACGUAGGGAUGCCCAUUGCCAUGCUUUUACACACUGAUGGAGAGCAUGAACGGCCAGGAGGUGAUGCAACUGUGACAAUAGCUCACAGAUAUACCCCCAAAGAACAGCUGAAGACUCAUACACAACUGGCAGAUGUUAUCAUAGUUGCUGCAGAGAUGGGGGUUCACCAUGUUGGCCAGGCUGGUCUCCAAUUCCUCACCUCAAGUGAUAUACCUGCUUCAACCUCCCAAAGUGCUGGGAUUACAGGCAUGAGCCACCAUGCCCAGCCCAUCAAGGUAUUCCAAAGUUGAUUACAUCUGAUAUGGUUAAAGAAGGUGCUGCUGUAAUUGAUGUGGGUAUCAACUAUGUCCAUGAUCCAGUGACAGGGAAGACAAAAUUAGUUGGAGAUGUGGACUUUGAAGAUACGAUUGGGGAAGACGCUUUUCAGAGCAUCAAAAAUAAAUAAAAUUUAACUCUUUCUCAUAUGACCAUUUUUAGCAUAUAAGCCACCUGCAGUAUUUCAUACGUGUGUUGCUUAGGAUAGCCCUGAAAUAGUUAUGCAAAAUCAUUAGAACGGAGAAUUUUUGUUAAGCAUUGACAUCUUCACCACUGGCAUUUGCCAGUAACUCCCCACCUUUCUUGAGAGAUCACUUACUUCUACAUCCUGAUCCUUACGUAAAUACACAAAGAAUAUAUUAACACUAGCCAGCAGCAGAUAAGAUUAUUAUUUCUUUCUUAGACACAGAUACUCAUGAAUAUCAAAUAAAAAGGAAUAGAAACCUAAUAUGUGUUUUCUAAAAUCAAAUUAAUCACUCUGCCUCUCAUGACCAUGUACAAAGUGUAUCUUCAUAUCCAUAUACUGUAUUUCAAAGACAAAAAAGAUUGAAGCAAGUAUUUGAGUAAUCAGGUGGGUUUACAAUGAUAUUAUAAUCUUCUGCUUCAUGAGUAAUUUUUGGGCUCCAUUGAUGCUACUAAAUGCUUAUUGAUGUUCAGAGAAGCCCUAGCCCAUGUUAGGUGAAACCCCAUUACCCCUUAAUAGUCUAAUUCUAUGAAAACUGAUAGGUAGGACAGGGUGAAUGUGUAUUGGUUUCCACCACUAAAGUAUGAUGCAAAAAUGUAGACACUGAGCUAAAAAAUUUCAGGCAGAUGUUAUUUUAUGCAGUAUCUCAUUCCCAUUCCCUCCUCCUCCACCCAAACCUCACCUUUUGAGCUGAGCGAAAGAAUGUAAUAGUAAGCAUGUUGUCUGUAAAACAUAAUUUGGAAGAGGAAGAUUGUGAUACCUGAGCAGACCGAUGGUUUAUCUGAUCUAACACCAGGAAUAAAAUGACUUAGUCAACUGUGUAAUUUGAAGUGUAAGAUGUAGUUCAGAGAUGAUAGCUAUGAGAACUCAUAGUCAAAAUGUAGGAAAAUUAAUAUAUUAGAAUGUUUUCCUCUUCAUUUUUUUUUUUCUAGAAUAUCCUCCUAACACUUUGAGAAAACAGAGUUAAUUUCUGGCACUUGAGCUAUUCUUUGGACUUUUCUACUUGUUCAGGUCAUAUAUAGUUGCAUUCGGAUGGGGUGAAAUUACAGAAUUUUAGAAUAUUUCUAACCUGGCUGUGAGCAAUUUCUCUACUAUAUAGGAGAGUGGUAAGUCACUGUAACUUUACUGAGCCACAGUUUCCUCAUCUAUUAAGAUGAAAUAAUCAAAUAUUAAUUAUUAGAACAAUGUAUACAAUUAUUGGCAACCAAUUAAUAGGUACUCAAUUGAUAGUAGCUAUGCUUUUUACUAUUUUUUCAGAGACAAAUAGUAUCAAAGCCACUUUACCUUUCAAAGUUAAAAACCAAACUAUAUAAAAAUAAUUUUAUGCCCACAAUGGAUAUUCCCCGAUAUAACAAAUUGUAUGCCACUUUUAAAUUUUGAAAAAAAUCAUUUUGUUUUCUAUCCAAUUAGCACUUGAUUUUUACUUUCCCAUAAUAUUCAGCAGUAUUUUAUUUUUAUCUAUUAAUAUUUCAACAUUCGUGUUUUACAAGUAUAGUAGUACUGUAAGUAGUAAUAAAGUAGUAGUAGUAGUAGUAGUAGUAGUAGUAGUCGUGUAAAUGUUUCUUCUAAAGACCUGCCGCGUUUUAAAGGCCUUGCUUCUUCAAUGCUUGAGGAAAGGUCUUGGAAGGCAUUUCUUAGGCCAUUAAGUCAGCUUAUUGAAAAGUGGAAAAUGCAGUUUAUCACCCUCAAGCAAAAUGAGUAGCUUGAGUUUUUCAGUAAAUUAGCUUAAACUAAAUUGAUACUGUUUAUAUCCAGUCAAAAGCACUGACACAUUUCUGCAAAUUGAUUUUAGAUUUUAAGUAAGGGAAAUUUAAGUUCACUUCCUCAGAAUUUGCUGAGUCCCUAACCUGUGCAUGGAGACAUUCUAAGAUGAAAAACAACAACCAGAAUGACUUGGCUGCUGCCUUCUAGGUGCUGGUAUCUAGUUAAGGGAAGAGAUAGUGCCGUGUAUUAUGUUCCAUAAUGAAGGCAGGUGUCAAAUAUUGGAAAUAUACAUGGUGGGACGUACUCUUUUUAAUAUAUGUUUUUUAUUGUACUUUAGAUUUGGGGGUACAUGUGCAGAACAUGCAGAAUUGUUGCUUAGGUACACACAGGGCAAUGUGGUUUGCUGCCUCCAUCUCCCUGUCACCUACCUGGCAUUUCUCCCCAUGUUAUCCCCCCCAACCUCCCUAUCCUCUACUGUCCCUCCCCUAGUCCAUCCCCACAGACCCCAGCAUGUGAUGCUCCCCUCCCUGUGUCCAUGUGUUCUCAUUGUUCAACACCUGCCUGCAAGUGAGAACAUGCAGUGUUUGAUUUUCUGUUCUUGUGUCAGUUUGCUGAGAAUGAUGGUUUCCAGAUUCAUCCAUGUCCCUACAAAGGACAUGACUUCAUAGUUUUUAUGGCUGCAUAGUAUUCUGUGGUGUAUAUGUGCCACAUUUUUCUUGUCCAGUCUAUUAUCGAUGGACAUUUGGGUUGGUUCCAGGUCUUUGCUAUUGUAAACAGUACUGCAAUGAACAUACGUGUGCAUGUAUCUUUAUAAUAGAAUGAUUUAUAAUCCUUUGGGUAUAUUCCCAGUAAUGGGAUUGCUGGGUCAAAUGGAAUUUCU